AGGCGGUUUGUUAAGCUAGAUGUGAAAGCCCCGGGCUCAACCUGGGAUGGUCAUUUAGAACUGGCAGACUAGAGUCUUGGAGAGGGGAGUGGAAUUCCAGGUGUAGCGGUGAAAUGCGUAGAUGUCUGGAGGAACAUCAGUGGCGAAGGCGACUCCCUGGCCAAAGACUGACGCUCAUGUGCGAAAGUGUGGGUAGCGAACAGGAUUAGAUACCCUGGUAGUCCACACCGUAAACGCUGUCUACUAGCUGUGUGUGCCUUUAAGGCGUGCGUAGCGAAGCUAACGCGCUAAGUAGACCGCCUGGGGAGUACGGUCGCAAGAUUAAAACUCAAAUGAAUUGACGGGGGCCCGCACAAGCGGUGGAGCAUGUGGUUUAAUUCGAAGCAACGCGCAGAACCUUACCAACCCUUGACAUCCUCGGACCGCCAGAGAUGGAUGGUUCCCUUCGGGGACGCAGUGACAGGUGCUGCAUGGCU
Molecule: ribosomal RNA, 476 nt
Filed under: uncultured Alteromonadaceae bacterium
Lineage: Bacteria; Pseudomonadati; Pseudomonadota; Gammaproteobacteria; Alteromonadales; Alteromonadaceae
Description: bacterial SSU rRNA
Rfam family: Bacterial small subunit ribosomal RNA
Source: RNAcentral